AUUGAACGCUGGCGGCAUGCUUUACACAUGCAAGUCGGACGGCAGCACAGAGAAGCUUGCUUCUUGGGUGGCGAGUGGCGAACGGGUGAGUAACAUAUCGGAACGUACCGAGCAGUGGGGGAUAACUAAUCGAAAGAUUAGCUAAUACCGCAUAUCUUCUGAGGAAGAAAGCAGGGGACCAUUUGGCCUUGCGCUGUUUGAGCGGCCGAUAUCUGAUUAGUUAGUUGGUGGGGUAAAGGCCUACCAAGGCGACGAUCAGUAGCGGGUCUGAGAGGAUGAUCCGCCACACUGGGACUGAGACACGGCCCAGACUCCUACGGGAGGCAGCAGUGGGGAAUUUUGGACAAUGGGCGCAAGCCUGAUCCAGCCAUGCCGCGUGUCUGAAGAAGGCCUUCGGGUUGUAAAGGACUUUUGUCAGGGAAGAAAAGGGCGGGGUUAAUACCCCUGUCUGAUGACGGUACCUGAAGAAUAAGCACCGGCUAACUACGUG
Molecule: ribosomal RNA, 490 nt
Filed under: uncultured bacterium
Lineage: Bacteria
Description: partial 16S ribosomal RNA
Rfam family: Bacterial small subunit ribosomal RNA
Source: RNAcentral